This 497-nucleotide ribosomal RNA is filed under the name uncultured bacterium. Its description in RNAcentral is "partial 16S ribosomal RNA". It matches the Rfam family "Bacterial small subunit ribosomal RNA", at positions 28 to 507 of the family's 1533-position model. The record is from RNAcentral.
GAUGAACGCUGGCGGCGUGCCUAAUACAUGAAAGUCGAGAGAACGGACGAGAAGCUUGCUUUUCUGAUGUUAGCGGCGGACGGGUGAGUAACACGUGGAUAACCUACCUAUAAGACUGGGAUAACUUCGGGAAACCGGAGCUAAUACCGGAUAAUAUUUUGAACCGCAUGGUUCAAAAGUGAAAGACGGUCUUGCUGUCACUUAUAGAUGGAUCCGCGCUGCAGUAGCUAGUUGGUAAGGUAACGGCUUACCAAGGCAACGAUGCAUAGCCGACCUGAGAGGGGGAUCGGCCACACUGGAACUGAGACACGGUCCAGACUCCGACUGGAGGCAGCAGUAGGGAAUCUUCCGCCAUGGGCGAAAGCCUGACGGAGCAACGCCGCGUGACUGAUGUAGGUCUUCGGAUCGUAAAUUUCUUGUAUUAGGGAAGAACAUAUGUGUAAGUACCUCUGCACAUCUUGACGGUACCCAAUCAUAAAGCCACUUCUAACUACGUG